UUCGCUCUACACGAGCCGUCGCUGCUCGCUGCCGACACCAACACGAACACCACCACCGACACCACGGCUGCUGCCGCUGAUGCUGCUGCUGCUGCUUAUGCGACAGGUUCGCCAGCGAGUGACUACUACUGGCUGCUGGCUUUGCCGCUGAGCUGCCCGAGCCAGCUAAGAGCGCAGGCAGGAUGAAAGAAAGCUGCCGCCACUGCCGACUGUAAUACUGUACCGUGUGUGCGUUUGUAUUGUGUGAGUGUGUGCGGCACAUUACAAUAAUAUAUCUCGUACCGACAUUAUGCAGUGUGUGCUGCUACCGCUGCUAGAGCUGCUGUAGCUUUUGUGACUACAAAUUUUGAAUUAGAUGUUUAUCUUCAGUGGAUAUCACAAAAAGGAGUUAUCUAAAUCUUUUUCUUUAAUUCAUUGUAUCGGAUAACUUGUUGCUUGGUGGCUUUAUUCAGUGUUAAAACCCGUGUGAUUAACUAUGUUUGUUUAUUCAACUUUUCCAAAUACUUAUGCAGCUCAUUGAAGCUUUAAUUAUUUCGAGAAAAAACUUCUUCAAACUGUUUGUGUUCAUGCACACGUGUUACUGAAUUUUUUAAGGCUAAAUGCUUUUUUUUUAAAACCUCGGAUGUUUUAUUGCCUUAUCCCAUUGUUGAGUUUAUCUCAUAGGCACAACCAAAGGUCUUGUGAUAUAGUUUUAUUCGUAUCCUUAUUCCUAUUAGCAUUAUAAUAAUUCUCAUAAGUCGUGGUUUUGCUCUUCUGCCGUUUCAACGUUCACCAUGGAUUCACUCGGUCUGUUGUUACCUGGCCGCUGUUCUUGACCGACUGGAUCACCAGCAGUGCCUCACCUGGUUCGGUGACCGUGGUUCCAACCUGUUCUCAGGUCUUUGUUGCUGGAGUAGCAGAGUCUUGUGGUGCGAAAGAAUCUAUUUCUACUUAAGGGCCUGAAGAAUGAUAUCUUCCAAUGUUUCUUUAAGAUGGACAAGCCACUCCAAAAUCAGAAACGACUUCCAAACUGGUGAGUACAUAAUAUUUGCAGAGCGUCCUAAUUUCGGUGGAAUAAUGACCACAAAUGUCAAUAACUCAUUUUUUUAAAAACCUGCUUGUACUCUAAUCCUGACCUUUCCAUCCUUUUCCAUCUUACAUUUCUGUGUCUAUUGAGCGUGUCAAACAAUCAAGGGCUAAUCCACGGUAGCUAACGGGACAGAAAAAGUACUUAAUUAAUUUGUCCAGUCAGUCAUCGAAAACUAACACGUCACAGCAUUUGCAUAAAGUACUUUUUAAAAAAUAACUGCAUUUGAUAUGAUUCUUCAUGUGUCUUUUAAAUGUUCUUAUCGUUUAAAGUUGAAAUAAGCUAAUUGAUAUUGAAAUACGAUGUUAUCGUUUUAAGAACGUAUGAUCCAAAUGUCCCGUCAGGUACCGUGGAAAAACCCGCAAGCAAGCUGGUCUAUAUACUCAAGUCUGAAUACAGCACUAUUCACUGUUUGUCAGUCUUGAGCGUCGUUUAAUCCCUUCCUACCCCCCCCCCCCCAACCAAAACAAACAACAACAACCAACCAAACAACAAAACAAAACAAAACAAAACAAAACAAAAUUUAUUAAAAAUUCCCUGACCAUCCUCUAUUCUUUUCCCUUUAUCAUUCUCCGUCCCGUCCGGGCGUCUCAAAAAGUCUAAAAAAAGACAAUCAGCUUUAUUAUUUUUUUCCGCCAAUUCGGCUUAACAGUUUAAUGCACUGCACUGACCUAUACUCGCGCUAUGCUCUCUCCCAAUCCCAUGAGACUGAGAUAAAUAAACCUUUGACCUUAGUAAA
Aplysia californica (California sea hare) is the source of this 1805-nucleotide long non-coding RNA. RefSeq lists it as uncharacterized. Lineage: Eukaryota; Metazoa; Mollusca; Gastropoda; Aplysiida; Aplysiidae. The transcript has 4 exons. The record is from RefSeq and is a predicted model, not a curated record.